GCCGUGGUGGCGGAAUGGUAUACGCGUUGGUCUCAAAAACCAAUGGGAUUUUUUCCCGUGUGGGUUCGACUCCCACCCACGGCACCA
This 87-nucleotide transfer RNA is filed under the name bacterium. RNAcentral describes it as "tRNA-Leu". It matches the Rfam family "tRNA". Rfam says of the family: Transfer RNA (tRNA) molecules are approximately 80 nucleotides in length. The record is from RNAcentral. RNAcentral also lists the same sequence under 2 other names.